This 312-nucleotide long non-coding RNA is filed under the name Homo sapiens (human). Its description in RNAcentral is "HSALNT0294130". Lineage: Eukaryota; Metazoa; Chordata; Mammalia; Primates; Hominidae. The record is from RNAcentral.
UCAGAUUAGAAAAUUUCAAAAUUACCAACCAAUUAGUAAGUCAAAGAGGAUUUUAUUACCGUUUAGUGAGUCUUUAUUCUUAUUGUCUCUUCCACCAGAAAAGUAAAAGUUAUCCUGAGUGGGGUUUCUUCUGUAGAUCAAGUCAAGAUAUCAGGACUAUUAACUUGCUUAUUUGGAGCCAUAGAAUUUGUGUUCAGAAGGUUCCUCUUCACAUUGUUGUCAGAGCUUCCUGUUUUCAGCACGUUACACACCACUCAUCACUCACUCCCUGUGUCAGAACUUUAUCAGCAUCCCGAGCUGUGGCUGCCUCUA